This 2282-nucleotide long non-coding RNA is filed under the name Oreochromis niloticus (Nile tilapia). RNAcentral describes it as "lncRNA (ENSONIG00000031384.1)". Lineage: Eukaryota; Metazoa; Chordata; Actinopteri; Cichliformes; Cichlidae. The record is from RNAcentral.
AUGUGUCGAUAUGACGUCGCUGUUGUCUCGUCUUCAGGCGGGAUGAAAACAGUCAGCUUGUACUCCAAACAGCUGCCCGUGCAACAACCGACGGUGGGCCAGCUGAGGAAGGAAGCGCUCAAAGCGUUUUCCACAGAGAAAUAUUUGGGUGAAAUCCGUCUGGUCGUUGAAGGAAAGCCACUGGACGACGACUCUGCGUCGCUGUCCGACUGCAAAAUCAAGCCCAACUCUGUUGUGCAGAUGGUGACCAAGGUUCACGGAGGCUGACUGAGCUCCAUCGUCGAGCUCCAACCGUUUAAUACAGACCAAGGACAAAAAUGCUUUUGUACUGUUAAACCUGUGCAGUUAUUUCGAGCUGCAGUUUCUCAGGGUGUAAACAAUUCUUUAGCUCCUUUUUUCUUUUUUCUCUUUUUUUGUUGUUGAUAAAUUAUGUGGGACACCAAUAACAAAUCGAAGGGUACAAACACCGCUGAAAUUAAAUGCUCCAUCUCAUCGGCUUCUGUGCUCGGAGCCAAUGAUUAUAAAUAAUAAAUCAGUCAUGUUAGCUAUAUCAUUAGCAUUACAGGACACCAAGAAAUGAGAAAAUGUAAAGGCACACAGAACAACCUCAAGAAAGUAAAUAAUGUACUGAUUUUUAUUAUUUGUGCUUUGAUGAUGUAAAAAAAAAAAAAAAAACAUAUACCAUUGUACUUGUCAUGGACUGGAUUGCACUUUUAGAUUACUUACUUGCAAAAAGUUACGCAAGAAGUAAAAUUCCAAUUUGCUUUGUUUUAACUUGAAUAAACUUUCUCGGAGGAGUCAGACUGUCGUGUAUAUCAUGUAAAAUCAUACAUAAAAGCCUGAUACUCAUGAUAAAGGCCCGUCAUGUACAGUGAUUUGCAUUUGAGACAUUUAAGGACUUUUCGCCCAAUUUUCACCAACUACACAGCAAAAUCUCCAGUGUUAAUUCAACUCCUAUAGUGUUAAAGUUAACACUUUUCCAGUGUUUAUAUAAUUCUCACUGGUUUAGAGUUAAAGUAACACUUUGCAAAGUGUUAUUAUUUUAACUCCAUUGUAGUGUUAAAAAUAUAACACCCAUAGUGUUAAAAUUUCACUCUGUAUGGUGUGAAGUGUCUUCACUCAGAGUGUAACUACCUAACAUUUAUAGUGUUGUUUUAGGACACUGAUAAGUGUUCACUUUUACACUGGCUUGGGUUAACUCUUUUCACUGAGGGUGUUACUACACAACAACUAUGGUGUUAUUCAUGACACUUUUAAGUGUUUAUUUUCACACUGGAUUGUGUUGACUGUUUUCACUUAGAGUGUUAUUCUGUAACUUUUACAGUGUUAUUUUGGCACUUUAAAGUGACAUAUAUGAGCUUUUAAAUACUAGUCUGUAUUAAUUGUCUGAAUACAAAAAUGCAUUAAAGUGCAAUUACUGUAUGACUACUGUGUUACAUUCAGUGAAAAUCCUUGUUAAGUCCCUUUACAGGAUAAAAGGAGAAAACAUAAAAUUGGUCACAUAAGCAUUUUAAUAAAUAUUAAAUUCCAAGCACCAUACAGCAUACGUUCACAACAAAAAUAAUGGCACAAUGUACAGACCAUCAUCAUCACCAUAAGCACUUUGCAAAUCAAAGGGCUUGUAUAUUUCAAUACAGUCUGCUUUAACAACAUCUUGUAAUCUGUCAAAAUCAGCUUGAAAUGACUCUGAGGGUUCUGCAUCACCACUUUGACAACAAUCUUCAUCAUGAACACUAUUUAAAUGUUUUUUUAAACCAGAAUAUGUAGUGAACUGACGGCUGCAACCAUCUUGUGAACAAGCCAACUUAAAUUUGGUGCUUGGAUAAAAACUGUGACCUAGUCGCAAAUGACUUAUCAAAGCCUGACUGGUGCUAUGCAGAGUUUGACAGAUAAAACAUUUAAACAUGGUUCUCAUUCAAUAUUUUGGCACGCAACUCACGAACACGUGGUGACUCAUCUGUUGAGGUGGCAUCAAUGUUGAAUAUGGUGGUCUGCACAAAACUGUAGAGAUGAACCAGUGACUCGUCGUAAGAUAAGUUGAACACGUAGUGGGAUUUGAAAAGUUCAUCAAAAGCACUGAGUGAGCUGGUGGCUUGGCAGGGGAUGAGCUGUUUGUCCACUGCGAUGUAGAAGGUGUCAAUGCUGUUCUGGGUUCGACCAACAGCGAGGAUGUAUGGUUGUUUACCAUCUCUUGCUUGCAAGUGUUCAUCAAUGCUGCAGCAUGACUAAAAACAAAUGAGAUAUUGACAUAUAGGCCUAGCUUAUACUUGCUGAGUAUGAAC